AAGUCAAAUAUUUUUGUGGUGAAACGCAAAAAAAAAAAAAAAAGCUGUACCAAAUUUUUUUUUUUUAAUCACAAAGCGAAUCUGAAACGCAAAGUGAAUCGCGAUUUCGAAGGCUCUCUAUAUGGUGUCUGUAAACCCAAGACCUAAGGGUUUUCCAUAUUUCGAUCCCGUCGAUAUGAGUUUACCGAGCUCCUCCGAUGGAUUUGGUUCGACUCCGGUCACGGGACGAACUAAUAAUAAUAAUACGGUGUCGUUUUCAGAAGAUCAGACGACGAAGAUUCGGAAGCCGUACACAAUCAAGAAGUCCAGAGAGAAUUGGACAGAGCAAGAACACGAUAAAUUCGUAGAAGCUCUUCAUUUAUUUGAUCGAGAUUGGAAGAAAAUAGAAGCAUUUGUUGGAUCAAAAACAGUGGUACAGAUACGAAGCCAUGCUCAGAAAUAUUUUCUAAAAGUACAGAAGAGUGGUGCUAAUGAACACCUUCCACCUCCUCGUCCCAAGAGGAAAGCUACUCAUCCUUAUCCUCAAAAGGCUCCUAAAAAUGUUGCUGCUUUUACGUCUCAAGCCAUUGGACCUGCUUACUUGUACACCUCUGAUUCACAGUCGUUACUGGGAAACCAGCCUGUUUGUGCUUCUACCUCUUCUUCUUCCUGGAAUCAUGAACCAACAACAACCAAUCUGCCUAUACCGGUCAUUCAAGAGGAACCAGGAGUCUCGGCCACAGCUCUUCCUAAGAAUAUUUGCACUAAGGAAGAAGAUACAACACGGAGGAGGGUACAAGUAUUGACAAAGCCUUGUGAAGAAGAAAGUUGUGAAAAGCCACAUCGAGUGAUGCCGGAUUUUGCUGAAGUUUACAGCUUCAUUGGAAGUGUCUUCGAUCCCAACACCUCUGGCCACCUCCAGAGAUUAAAGCAGAUGGAUCCAAUAAAUAUGGAAACGGUUCUUUUACUAAUGAGAAACCUGUCUGUAAAUCUGACAAGUCCCGAGUUCGCAGAGCAAGUAAAGGAGGUUGAUAUCAUCAUACAGCGUUAAAGCUUUGAAAUAGAGAAAGGUAAAAACAGCAAAUGUACCUUAUGUGAGAGCAAGAGAUAUUCAUCCAAGGCUGUUUGUGCAUUCCUUGGAUCCAGGGCCUCGAGUUCUCACUACCCGAGCAAGGAUUCCUAGAUGGCUACUGAGUUGUGGUUUUUUAUGUCCCUGUAAGUCGCGGUGGAGCACAUUUGUUUGUCCUGUCUUAUUCAGCACUCAGCAGUCAGCAGAAGAAGUGCAGAUUCAGGGAGUGACAAAACAAGUUGAAGAGAAGGCAAAGACGAUGAUUUACAUAAAAUAAAAUUAAACAUGAAUGUGUAUAUUGUAUCAUUUCAUUUGCCUUCCGUUAUACUAUUUUUCUUACUCGUCAGUCCAAUAUAGUAUACGUGCAAGUU
Non-coding RNA from Camelina sativa (false flax), 1419 nucleotides. NCBI's taxonomy places the organism in Eukaryota, Viridiplantae, Streptophyta, Magnoliopsida, Brassicales, Brassicaceae. The record is from RefSeq and is a predicted model, not a curated record.